GCCAUAGCAACAAGAAAAUGCUUUCACGGGGCUUGAGUGAAUACAGAAUGCCGUAAUUAACAUUUACAUAAUAGGCAGAUAGCUUUGUUGUAAACAACAAUAAUCAAACUAUCCUAUGACUAUUGGUAAAGUUUACCGGCAGAUGUUUGAUGCCCAGGUAACAGCAUUCAUAGUAUCUGAAGAAAAUGUUCAGUUGUCUCUGGCUCUCUAUGACUCGUGGAGGAAGCGCUUGGCGGAUGAGGACGGUAUGCUGCUGCUGUUUAAAGACAUUAAUCAUGAUUAAAAGUACUCUGUUUGAUAGGAACACACUUUAUUCUGGUGGAAAAAGAAGUGAGGACCAGGAUGAUAGUGAGGAGGUUUGGGGUCUUUCAGACACUGUUGGUGAAAACUGAAAGUCUCAGUGAUGCUG
Molecule: long non-coding RNA, 409 nt
Organism: Cyprinus carpio carpio
Lineage: Eukaryota; Metazoa; Chordata; Actinopteri; Cypriniformes; Cyprinidae
Source: Ensembl